GAUGAACGCUGGCGGCGUGCCUAAUACAUGCAAGUCGAGCGAACAGACGAGGAGCUUGCUCCUCUGACGUUAGCGGCGGACGGGUGAGUAACACGUGGAUAACCUACCUAUAAGACUGGGAUAACUUCGGGAAACCGUAGCUAAUACCGGAUAAUAUAUUGAACCGCAUGGUUCAAUAGUGAAAGACGGUUUUGCUGUCACUUAUAGAUGGAUCCGCGCCGCAUUAGCUAGUUGGUAAGGUAACGGCUUACCAAGGCAACGAUGCGUAGCCGACCUGAGAGGGUGAUCGGCCACACUGGAACUGAGACACGGUCCAGACUCCUACGGGAGGCAGCAGUAGGGAAUCUUCCGCAAUGGGCGAAAGCCUGGCGGAGCAACGCCGCGUGAGUGAUGAAGGUCUUCGGAUCGUAAAACUCUGUUAUUAGGGAAGAACAAAUGUGUAAGUAACUAUGCACGUCUUGACGGUACCUAAUCAGAAAGCCACGGCUAACUACGUG
Molecule: ribosomal RNA, 497 nt
Filed under: uncultured bacterium
Lineage: Bacteria
Description: partial 16S ribosomal RNA
Rfam family: Bacterial small subunit ribosomal RNA
Source: RNAcentral